GACGGUCGCGGGCGGUUCGCCGUCCGAGGAAAGUCCGGGCUCCGCAGAGCAGGGCGCUGGGUAACGCCCAGUCGGGGUGACCCGAAGGAGAGUGCCACAGAAAUGACACAGCCCCGGCCGGGCCGGGGCAACGGUGAAAUGGUGGGGUAAGAGCCCACCGGCGGCCGGGUGACCGGCCGGCCAGGUAAACCCCGCCCGGAGCAAGGCCGAACAGGGACCGGACGUCACGUCCGGAGGCGGCUCGCCUCAGUGUCCCGGGUCAGGCCGCUCGAGGCGCCGGGCAACCGGCGUCCCAGAUGGAUGACCGUCCU
RNAcentral lists this RNase P RNA (311 nucleotides) under Chloroflexota bacterium. RNAcentral's name for it is "Chloroflexi bacterium RNase P RNA component class A". It matches the Rfam family "Bacterial RNase P class A", at positions 12 to 322 of the family's 367-position model. From Rfam's summary of the family: Ribonuclease P (RNase P) is a ubiquitous endoribonuclease, found in archaea, bacteria and eukarya as well as chloroplasts and mitochondria. Its best characterised activity is the generation of mature 5'-ends of tRNAs by cleaving the 5'-leader elements of precursor-tRNAs. Lineage: Bacteria; Bacillati; Chloroflexota. The record is from RNAcentral.